UCGUGUCGUGAGAUUGGUUGGUUAACGUCCCGCAACGACGCGCAACCUUGUCUUUAGUUGCCAUCAUUCAGUUGGGCACUCUAAAGAGACUGCCGGUGUCAAACCGGAGGAAGGUGGGGAUGACGUCAAGUCCUCAUGGCCUUUAUGACCAGGGCUACACACGUACUACAAUGGCCGGUACAAAGGGCAGCCACUUAGCGAUAAGGAGCCAAUCCCGUAAAGCCGGUCUCAGUCCGGAUUGGAGUCUGCAACUCGACUCCAUGAAGUUGGAAUCGCUAGUAAUCGCAGAUCAGCACGCUGCGGUGAAUACGUUCCCGGGCCUU
This 323-nucleotide ribosomal RNA is filed under the name uncultured Desulfocapsa sp. RNAcentral's name for it is "bacterial SSU rRNA". It matches the Rfam family "Bacterial small subunit ribosomal RNA", at positions 1060 to 1382 of the family's 1533-position model. Lineage: Bacteria; Pseudomonadati; Thermodesulfobacteriota; Desulfobulbia; Desulfobulbales; Desulfocapsaceae. The record is from RNAcentral.